Molecule: long non-coding RNA, 1106 nt
Filed under: Homo sapiens (human)
Lineage: Eukaryota; Metazoa; Chordata; Mammalia; Primates; Hominidae
Description: PREDICTED lncRNA (TCONS_00086716)
Source: RNAcentral
CUUCGAGCAGAUCCCAGCAUGAAUCCUGCAGUAUGGUGAUGGCAAAAGUCAGUGCAGGACCACUGGGACUCCUGGAGCUUCUCACAUCUCUGAGAGCACCAGCAGCAGCCAGCUCUCCUCUGCCGUUUGCCAUGAGUGGAAGCAGCCUGAGGCCUCACCUGAUGCAGAUGCCACUGCCAUGCUUCUAGUAGAGCCCACAGAACCAUGAGCCAAACAAACCUUUCUUCUUAUUGUUUUUCUUCCCAACUUUUGUUUUAGUUGGGAAAUAAAGGCCCAGUGGAGUGUUUUCUCCACUGUGUUGUGACAGUGGGCCAUGAACUUGCCUCAUCUUCCUAAUAGUUAUCUACUACUUAAUGUCCGAAGAAACAUAUGUAUUGGCUUGACUAAUGUUACAUUUAUGUUGUUAAGAAACAUGUACUCAGGGGCUACAUGUGCAGGUUUGCUACAUGGGUAAAUUUCAUACCAUAGGAGUUUGGUGUACAGAUUAUUUUGUCAUCCAGGAAAUAAGCAUAGCAUCUAUAGAUAGCAGAUGACUGGUAGGAAGAUGAGGCAAGUUUGCGGUCCAUUGUCAUGGAUAGUGGAGACAACACUGGGCCAGAAGUGGUAAGACCUGAAUCCAAGACUCAGCUCUGCCACUUGCUAAAUGGGACUUUGAAUAAACCAUUUCUCUGCACUUAAGUUCCUUACCAACAAAACGAGGGAAGUGGCCUACAUGCCUAGAUAUCAACAUUUCAUGUCACGUAGAGAUCUAGCAUCACAAGAAUCCAAGUCAUCCUCUGUUGCCUUUAAGAUUUCAGCAUGGUGAAGGAAAAGUAGCAGAAGACUGAAUGCAUACUCAGUUUUCAAGCUCUGGAUUUAAUCUUUCCAUAGCUGGAAUUGCCUCCUCCUCAAAAGCCUUAUUUGUUCAUUUAAUUGGGGCAACAUGAAAUAAUGAUGUAUCAUUGACAGAGAACAGGGGGCUUAGGUUCUCAUCUUGGUCCUAGUGAUUACUCUAUGCAUAACCUCAACUUCUUUAUCUGUACAUUGGGAACAAUAAUUCUUACUCCACUUGUUGUGUUGAAACUGAAUUAUAUAAUUCAUAAAUUAAAACACCAAAUUCUGAUAAA